ACCAUGAUCAUUGGUGUCAGUGACUCCACUCAGAUAAGUUUCUUUUCCUAUCUCCAACAAUCAUCCAAAUUUGGAUUUUCUUCUUUAUUCUUAAUUCUCAAAAUAGUUCCAUUUCAUUGUUGUUAAUUUUACUCCUCUAAAGCUCUUCCAAGGUUAGCCUUGUUUCAACAAAUAAGAAGGAAUGUCAAAGUAUACAACUAGAUUCAAAAUUGCACAAAGCAAAAUGCGGCUAGGACAUGCUAGAGAUAGUAUGAUGAAAAGUGGGGCAUAGAGUGUGAGCAAAGGUUAAAUCGGUGGAAUGGUUCAGUAAUGUCGUGGGAGAUGUAUGGUUUCAAAUAAAAGGGUCAAAAGUGAAAAAAACAGUUGGGGAUCCUAUGGUUGAGGAUCAUUCGGGAGGUCAAAACAAUUCUCGACCAGUUCAAGGCAGUCGGUCGAAGCAAAGCAUGGCAAAGAGAAAACCAUCCCCAACAAGAAUGCCAUAACUAACCACGACAUUUUAAACUAACAAAAUUUUCUUUGAUUUAAAACAGGGGAAAAGAUGGCAUUUGUUUCAGGAAGCCCUCCGUAAGGAAAGCAAGUACCAGGCAGGUUUGAUCACAAAAUUCUCAGGACCCUCCUGGAAAAUGGGACCUAGGCUAAAAUCUAAAACAAUCAUAAGGAGUAAAUAUAGCAUAAAUAUACACCAAAGGAAUAUAAGUUGGCUUCAAAGUUUGCAUAGGAGUUUUCAGGGCCCGCCUAAAUAAUGGGAUGUAACUUUAAGAAUUCCAUUAGCUAAGUAAGUUCUAUUAUAAGAGAGUAUAAUUUAGCUAUAAAAAUAUCAUUCGUAAGAUAGGCUCUAAUUUGAAAUUUCAGGACCCUCCUAGAUAAUGGGAUGAGGUUUUAAGACCAUGUGAUAUAACAAGUUUCAUUAAAUCAUGACUUUUAAAAAUAUAGCAUAGCUUUGAAAUUGGCAUUUCAUUAGAGAUUUUCAGGACACUCCUGGAUAAUGGAAUAUAGCUUGCAGAUUAUUAGAAAUAUUUGGUAAAAGGAUUCAAUUAACACUCAUAGAUGCGCCUAGUUACCAAACUGGGACAGAAAAUUUUCUUUUGUUUUGUCUAUUUUGCUGAAGUCAGACGCCCGUCUGAAGAAUAGGGAAAACAACAUGGAUGUUAAAGAUAAAAGCGUGACCAAGUACUAGCAAUCAGGCGUCCACCUGGAGAACAAGGAAAAACAGUUGAAAUAUCAGCAAUCAGGCGUCCACCUGGAGAACAAGGAACAACAGUUGAAGUAUCAGCAAUCAGGCGUCCACCUGGAGAACAAGGAACAACAGUUGAAGUAUCAGCAAUCAGGCGUCCACCUGGAGAACAAGGAACAACAGUUGAAGUAUCAGCAAUCAGGCAUUCACCUGGAGAACAAGGAAUAACAGUUGAAGUAUCAGCAAUCAGGCGUCCACCUGGAGAACAAGGAAUAUAAGUUGAAGAUUCAGUAAUCAGGCGUCCACCUGGAGAACAAGGAACAACAGUUCAAGUUUCAGCAAUCAGGCGCCCACCUGGAGAGCAAGGGAGUACAGUUCAAGUUUCAGCUUUCAAGUUCUUACUGAUAUUUUGUAACCUGAUUUAGUUUACACUCACAUAUGUGCCUAGCUACCAAACUGGGGAAGAAAAUUUUCUUUGUUUUGUCUAUUUUUGUUGAAAUCAGGAGCCCACCUGGAGAAC
This 1694-nucleotide long non-coding RNA is filed under the name Nicotiana tabacum (common tobacco). Its description in RNAcentral is "long non-coding RNA (NTAB_LNC008544)". The record is from RNAcentral. Lineage: Eukaryota; Viridiplantae; Streptophyta; Magnoliopsida; Solanales; Solanaceae.